This 475-nucleotide ribosomal RNA is filed under the name uncultured bacterium. Its description in RNAcentral is "SSU rRNA". It matches the Rfam family "Bacterial small subunit ribosomal RNA", at positions 26 to 518 of the family's 1533-position model. The record is from RNAcentral.
AGGACGAACGCUGGCGGCGCGCCUAAAACAUGCAAGUCGAACGUGAAGCCCGGAGCUUGCUCUGGGUGGAAAGUGGCGAACGGGUGAGGAACACGUGAGCAACCUGUCCCGAAGACUGGGAUAACACCGGGAAACCGGUGCUAAUACCGGAUACCCCCAUCGGACCGCAUGAUCUGAUGAGGAAAUGAAUUUCGCUUCGGGAGGGGCUCGCGGGCUAUCAGCUUGUUGGUGGGGUAACGGCCUACCAAGGCGACGACGGCUAGCUGGUCUGAGAGGACGACCAGCCACACUGGGACUGAGACACGGCCCAGACUCCUACGGGAGGCAGCAGUGGGGAAUCUUGCGCAAUGGGCGAAAGCCUGACGCAGCAACGCCGCGUGGGGGAUGAAUGCCUUCGGGUUGUAAACCCUUUCAGCAGGGACGAAUCUGACGGUACCUGCAGAAGAAGCCCGGCCAACUACGUGCCAGCAGCCGC